AUGGCUGUCGUCAGCUCGUGUCGUGAGAUGUUGGGUUAAGUCCCGCAACGAGCGCAACCCUUGUCGUUAGUUACUACCAUUAAGUUGAGGACUCUAGCGAGACUGCCUGGGUUAACCAGGAGGAAGGUGGGGAUGACGUCAAAUCAUCAUGCCCCUUAUGUGUAGGGCUACACACGUGCUACAAUGGCUGGUACAGAGAGAUGCAAUACCGCGAGGUGGAGCCAAACUUAAAAACCAGUCUCAGUUCGGAUUGUAGGCUGAAACUCGCCUACAUGAAGCUGGAGUUACUAGUAAUCGCGAAUCAGAAUGUCGCGGUGAAU
RNAcentral lists this ribosomal RNA (320 nucleotides) under uncultured bacterium. RNAcentral describes it as "bacterial SSU rRNA". It matches the Rfam family "Bacterial small subunit ribosomal RNA", at positions 1045 to 1367 of the family's 1533-position model. The record is from RNAcentral.